This 370-nucleotide ribosomal RNA is filed under the name uncultured bacterium. RNAcentral describes it as "bacterial SSU rRNA". It matches the Rfam family "Bacterial small subunit ribosomal RNA", at positions 917 to 1289 of the family's 1533-position model. The record is from RNAcentral.
GGGCCCGCACAAGCGGUGGAGCAUGUGGAUUAAUUCGAAGCAACGCGAAGAACCUUACCUAGCCUUGACAUCCUUGGAACCUGCCCCAAAAGGCGGGGUGUCCUUCGGGAAAUCAAGUGACAGGUGCUGCAUGGCUGUCGUCAGCUCGUGUCGUGAGAUGUUGGGUUAAGUCCCGCAACGAGCGCAACCCUUGUCUUUAGUUGCCAUCAUUUAGUUGGGCACUCUAGAGAGACUGCCGGUGUCAAGCCGGAGAAGGUGGGACGACGUCAAGUCAUCAUGGCCCUUACGGCUAGGGCUUCACACGUGCUACAAUGGGCGGUACAAGGGUCGCGAAACCGCGAGGUGGAGCUAAUCCCAAAAAGCCGCUCUC